RNAcentral lists this long non-coding RNA (822 nucleotides) under Cucumis sativus (cucumber). RNAcentral describes it as "long non-coding RNA (CSAT_LNC001486)". The record is from RNAcentral. Lineage: Eukaryota; Viridiplantae; Streptophyta; Magnoliopsida; Cucurbitales; Cucurbitaceae.
CAAGGCUAAGGUUGAAACCAAAACAACCUUGAAUAGGAACAAUUUCACAAACUACACCUCUUUCCAAAAUGCCCCUGACCUUCAAAGAAACAAAAUCUAAGUUUAAGAAAAUUCAAGGUAAACUCAAGAUUAAUUUACUUAUACCAAAUAAAUUGAUAUUUGAUGGGCAUACCAAAACUCAAUCAAAUACUCACAAAAAAUUAACCAAAAUAGGAAAGUGGCUCAACUUGGCUAAACAAGAGGAAGGGAGGAGGGCGGACAACUCGCAACUCGAGAUGACUCUGUAAGAGGCUUUAGCGCGCACGACUCAGUGAGGACCACGUAUGGCUUCAAUGGAAGAUAAAUAGCUUGCGAUAGAGAUGAGCUCCAAUUGAGAUAGAGAUGAAAAGCGAUGAAGAUGGGCGGUGGCCAGACUUGCUUGAUGGAAGGAACACGAACGACAUGUAAGGCUUUACGAACUCGUAAAGGAGAGGAACGGUGUGGCUUUGUUGAAGCGGAUGAAAAUUGACUGCGUGAACAGUGAGAUGUUCGUCAAACGAUGGUGGUGAACGAACGGAGAUGGAAAUAGGCGUCGACGACUAAGGUUCUUUAUGAGGAAGAAGAUGGAAUGCACACAGAACGAGAAGACCUAUUUAAAAUAUUGUUAUUAUUACUAUUAUUAUUAUUUUACUUUUCUUUUUCUUUUUCCUUUUCCUUUUCUUUUUCCCUACAAAAAUAACUCAAAUCUUCUCUCUUUAUUAAAUUCCAUAUCAAAUCUUUUUUUUUUUAUCUUCUUCCAAAAAUAUAACAUAUUUCCUUAUAUAAUUAUAUUAUCCCCAUAAU